UGGAAAUGCCCACAUGAUGAGGAACUAAGACCUCCUGCCAAUGGCCACAACCCUUUUACACUCUUAAAAUUGAGGACCUUAAAGAGCUUCUGCUUAUUACAGUUUUUAUCUAUCAUAUAUCAUAAUAUGCACCCUUUUUUAUACCUGUGGUGAAAAAUCUCCCCCUGUAUUGGAGAAGAGCUAUUAUACAACAGUCAGUUGAUGAUGGACUGGUAUAGAGGUCCCCUCCCAGCUCUCAUUUUCUUUGCUUCUGGGAAAUGUUAUGGACAAGUCGGCAGCAACUCUCCCACGUCCUGUGAGCUCACCAGGUGCAGAUUAUGGGUCAUGCUGCAAGGAUGACACAUAGAACUAAGGCCACUGCACGACUGAGUGCAUGGAGUCCUGUGGCUCCCACACAAACAAAGAGACUGGGAUGAUACGGGCGUGGCAUGUUGUCCUCCACACAGAGAUCCCUUCUGCCUGCCUUUCUGAGAGCUUCCCUAUAAGAAACUGCACCCAGCGACAACUUGGCCUGGUAAGAACAGGUCUACCAGAUGUUGAAAGUAAAUCUGGUUUGUUCCCCAGAGGAUAAUAUCUAAUUAUCAUGCACACAUAUGCAAUAUAGAAAUUUGAAGUAUGGAAUUAUAUUUGGAGUUUUCUUCAUA
This is a long non-coding RNA of Neofelis nebulosa (Clouded leopard), 644 nucleotides long. RefSeq lists it as uncharacterized. The record is from RefSeq and is a predicted model, not a curated record. The transcript has 4 exons. NCBI's taxonomy places the organism in Eukaryota, Metazoa, Chordata, Mammalia, Carnivora, Felidae.